UUCGGCCCCGCAACGGCUUCUCCGUUGCCCCCUGCUAGCCGUCGCCGACGCUCUCCUUUCGAUUUGCACGCGAUCCUGUCGCCUUCUCUGCGGCGCGGC
This is a non-coding RNA of Pseudomonas lutea, 99 nucleotides long. Lineage: Bacteria; Pseudomonadati; Pseudomonadota; Gammaproteobacteria; Pseudomonadales; Pseudomonadaceae. The record is from Rfam.